UACGUAGGGGGCGAGCGUUGUCCGGAUUUAUUGGGCGUAAAGAGCUCGUAGGCGGUGUGUCGCGUCGGCCGUGAAAACCUGCAGCUUAACUGUGGGCUUGCGGUCGAUACGGGCAUCACUGGAGUUCGGCAGGGAAGACUGGAAUUCCUGGUGUAGCGGUGAAAUGCGCAGAUAUCAGGAGGAACACCUGCGGCGAAGGCGGGUUGCUGGGCCGACACUGACGCUGAUGCGCGAAAGCCAGGGGAGCGAACGGG
Molecule: ribosomal RNA, 254 nt
Filed under: uncultured bacterium
Lineage: Bacteria
Description: partial 16S ribosomal RNA
Rfam family: Bacterial small subunit ribosomal RNA
Source: RNAcentral